UACGACUCUCGGCAAUGGAUAUCUUGGCUCUUGCAUCGAUGAAGAACGCAACGAAAUGCGAUACGUGGUGCGAAUUGCAGAAUCCCGUGAACCAUCGAGUUUUUGAACGCAAGUUGCGCCUGAGGCCAACUGGCCAAGGGCACGUCCGCCUGGGCGUCAUGC
This 162-nucleotide ribosomal RNA is filed under the name Calochilus caeruleus. Its description in RNAcentral is "5.8S ribosomal RNA". It matches the Rfam family "5.8S ribosomal RNA". Rfam says of the family: 5.8S ribosomal RNA (5.8S rRNA) is a component of the large subunit of the eukaryotic ribosome. The record is from RNAcentral. Lineage: Eukaryota; Viridiplantae; Streptophyta; Magnoliopsida; Asparagales; Orchidaceae.